RNAcentral lists this ribosomal RNA (465 nucleotides) under Vreelandella stevensii. RNAcentral's name for it is "partial 16S ribosomal RNA". It matches the Rfam family "Bacterial small subunit ribosomal RNA", at positions 338 to 795 of the family's 1533-position model. Lineage: Bacteria; Pseudomonadati; Pseudomonadota; Gammaproteobacteria; Oceanospirillales; Halomonadaceae. The record is from RNAcentral.
CCUACGGGGGGCUGCAGUGGGGAAUAUUGGACAAUGGGGGGAACCCUGAUCCAGCCAUGCCGCGUGUGUGAAGAAGGCCCUCGGGUUGUAAAGCACUUUCAGUGAGGAAGAACGCCUGGUGGUUAAUACCCAUCAGGAAAGACAUCACUCACAGAAGAAGCACCGGCUAACUCCGUGCCAGCAGCCGCGGUAAUACGGAGGGUGCGAGCGUUAAUCGGAAUUACUGGGCGUGAAGCGCGCGUAGGUGGCUUGAUAAGCCGGUUGUGAAAGCCCCGGGCUCAACCUGGGAACGGCAUCCGGAACUGUCAAGCUAGAGUGCAGGAGAGGAAGGUAGAAUUCCCGGUGUAGCGGUGAAAUGCGUAGAGAUCGGGAGGAAUACCAGUGGCGAAGGCGGCCUUCUGGACUGACACUGACACUGAGGUGCGAAAGCGUGGGUAGCAAACAGGAUUAGAUACCCCUGUAGUC